Molecule: ribosomal RNA, 473 nt
Filed under: uncultured Glomus
Lineage: Eukaryota; Fungi; Glomeromycota; Glomeromycetes; Glomerales; Glomeraceae
Description: SSU rRNA
Rfam family: Eukaryotic small subunit ribosomal RNA
Source: RNAcentral
AGCAGCCGCGGUAAUUCCAGCUCCAAUAGCGUAUAUUAAAGUUGUUGCAGUUAAAAAGCUCGUAGUUGAAUUUCGGGAUCAAGUCGUCGGUCGUGCUCAGGUACGUACUGGCGUCAUUGAUUUCUCCCUUCUGACGAACCAUGAUGUCAUUAAUUUGGUGUUAUGGGAAAUCAGGACUGUUACUUUGAAAAAAUUAGAGUGUUUAAAGCAGGCUCACGCUUGAAUACAUUAGCAUGGAAUAAUGAAAUAGGACGUUCGAUCCUAUUUUGUUGGUUUUAGGAUCAACGUAAUGAUUAAUAGGGAUAGUUGGGGGCAUUAGUAUUCAAUUGUCAGAGGUGAAAUUCUUGGAUUUAUUGAAGACUAACUACUGCGAAAGCAUUUGCCAAGGAUGUUUUCAUUAAUCAAGAACGAAAGUUAGGGGAUCGAAGACGAUCAGAUACCGUCGUAGUCUUAACCAUAAACUAUGCCGACUA